AUUGAACGCUGGCGGCAUGCUUUACACAUGCAAGUCGAACGGUAACAGGCAGCAAGGUGCUGACGCGUGGAGACCGGGUGAGUAAUGCAACGGAACGAGACCCGCCGUGGGGGAUAACUACUCGCAAGAGUAGCCAAUACCGCAUACGACCUAUGGAUGAAAGCGGGGGACCGUAAGGCCUCGCGCGAUUGGAGCGGCCGAUGUCAGAUUAGGUAGUUGGGGGGGGAAAGGCUCACCAAGCCAACGAUCUCUAGCAGGUCUGACAGGACAACCGGCCACACUGGGACUGAGCCACGGCCCAGACUCCUACGGGAGGCAGCAGUGGGGAAUUUUGGACAAUGCGCGCAAGCCUGAUCCAGCACUGCCGCGUGCAGCAAGAAGGCCUUCGGGUUGUAAACUGCUCUUGUACGGAACGAAACGGCUCUGGUUAAUACCCGCCGCUAAUGACGGUACCGUAAGAAUAAGCACCGGCUAACUACGUG
RNAcentral lists this ribosomal RNA (482 nucleotides) under uncultured bacterium. RNAcentral's name for it is "partial 16S ribosomal RNA". It matches the Rfam family "Bacterial small subunit ribosomal RNA", at positions 29 to 507 of the family's 1533-position model. The record is from RNAcentral.